This is a long non-coding RNA of Carya illinoinensis, 2601 nucleotides long. RefSeq lists it as uncharacterized. NCBI's taxonomy places the organism in Eukaryota, Viridiplantae, Streptophyta, Magnoliopsida, Fagales, Juglandaceae. The transcript has 2 exons. The record is from RefSeq and is a predicted model, not a curated record.
GAACGUUGUAAUUGCGAAAUAAUGGAGGACGAGGCCCAUUAUUUUCUGAGGUCUAAAUCAUCAAAAUGUGACUUAAAAUCUGCCUAGAAAGUGAGAGGUGGUGGGGGACACCUCAAGUGGAAUAGACAAGAGACUAGACAUACGAGCAAGACAGAAUGUCACUUGCCAAGUUACUAGUCGAAGGCUUAAAAGCAUUAAAAAAGAAGAAAAGUAGAAGUCAUAUACGCACAGGAAUGCAGCCACUGAAUAUGAUGACUCAACACUGAACUGAGACUUUUUCCAAGCGAAAAAUAUAAGCGAAGUGGUUGCUAGUAUUAAUCUUAAAACUGUUGGUGGUUGCUGUUGGAAGAAAUACGAGUGCUGUGUCUUUCACAAUAUCACACUGACACCAGGUCUCUCUCUAACCCCGCGGUUUUGGCUUAUUGCGGGGUCAGAAACCAGACCGCAGGAGGCAUGGGUCCAUAAAGGAGCUGUCGUUUGGAAGAGGGCGCGCGAAAACAGCGCGGGAGCUGUUUCCCGAUGCGGUGCAGUGCAGUAGACAUCAAAUUAGCAAUGACCCUGCCUGCCCACUGCCCUACUCCCCACUUUCACUACCCAUCGCGCUCUCUCUCUCUCUCUCUAAAAUUUUCUGAUGUUUCCGGGUCCCACAUCGACCCCACCAUCAUAUCAAACGUUAACUCCGAUCUGAUGUUCACGGCCAUCGAAUGCUCAUCUGUUUGUAUGUGGGGGGAAGUAGAUGGGGACGGAGCUGAGUUGGGUAAAUGAGCUCCAGAGGUCCGGCAAUUGGCUACUGUGCACCCAUGUGGGGAGUGGGUCCAGGGUGUGGAGAGAAUUACAGGUUUUUAGAGACAGGAAUGGGACUGUUUUUGGUCCUAUCAUCAUGCAAUGUAAUUGAGAGAGAGAGAGAGAGAGAGAACUGAGAUAAGCAGAGAGAAGUAGAUGGUGGGUGUCUAUCAUAAUGAUGUGAUUGCUGUGGGGGAAGCAUUGGAUAUUAAAUUAGACUUGCAAAUCAUUUGUGGGGAAGCUUUUUUUUUUUUUUUUUCUCUCUUAAAUAUGACAGUGAAAUUAUUAACAAAAUUCAAACAUAUAUAAUAUUAUGAUCGUAUGAGUGUGAAAAAGUCCUUGCUGCCGUUGAUUCUUGAUGUUGAUCUUACCAUAUAUGUAUCCUUGACGUAAUCCAUCCUAAUGACCUAUCUAGGCUUCUUUUCUUUUUAUUUUUCAUUUUUUUUUCUUUUUUCUCCUAUUUUUUAAGCAACCCAUGAUUUCGUUUGAUUUUUAUGAUAAAAUCAUAAACAAAUGAAGACAGGUUUGUAGAGAAGCAAAUCCUUUGUAGGUGAAGAAUCUCCAUCCAGCAGCUUGCUUUUUCUGAUCUGAUAUUACAUGCUCCUUUAUUCUUCCAGUACCCACCCAAAUAGUAUGGCUUCAUGUCCAAUCCACCAUUUUCUUUUUUUCUUCUUCUAUUCUGUGGUCUUGACAUUACAAAUUACAGCCCCCAGGCCACUCGUUCUCCCCUAAAAAAUCAUGCUUCCGUGCCUUCUGGGACAGCAUUUCGGUUACGAAUCUUAAGUUGAUUGAAAGCACUAUAAUUUAUAUUCAAAUACCGCGAGUGUGGAUCUUUCUUUUUCCGGCUCUAGGAAGGAUUCAUAAGAUUUAAUUAUGUUGUGAUGAUGCAUUUCCAGAUGCAAUAUAGGCGUGGGAAUUGGAAAUCGAUGACUUCUAAUCCAACCUUGAAAGGCCGAGGCUUUAAUUGAUUGCAUUGGGCUGUACGUGGUAUCAAAAUCACUGAUGUCUCUCCAAUAAGGCCCUAAUGCCAAUGCAACUUUCGGCCUAUUGGGCUCUUUAGUAUUCGGUUGAGAGGUGAGGAGUCAGAAAGAGUCCUUUCUUUCUUAUAAUGUCUCUCCAGCACGGUCCUUUUGCUUUGUAAAUGCAACUUUCGGCCUAUUGGGCUCUGUAGUCUUCGGUUGAGAGGUUAGGAGUCAGAUAAAGUCAUUUCUUAUAACUGUACUCCUUAAAAUAGGUCAAAUAUAUUAAAAUUUACUUAAAGAAAAUCAUGGCAUGGCUACUGGGAAUAUAUGUGACUGGACAGUUUUAUCCAAACCAAAUGACGCAAGCUAAUAUUGCGCUCCUGAAUUUGGUUUUGAAGCCUUAUUGAGCAGUCCGCAUUAUCUACUACUCCUCACAUGACUCAGCAGCAUUCCACCACCUCAGCUGCCCCUUCAGGAUGCUCUACCACCUCAGCUGGUUCAAGAAGCUUCACCAUGGAAUUGUAAUGCACACCAACUGCUUGAGAAUAUUCUCAAGUUUGUUUGGAUCUCUUGUAUAGUGAAAGUAGGCAGAUGCCGGAGCGUGCAGAUUGAAGUGACAUGGCAUCUGCCUUUCGAGAUUGAUACAUUGUUUGGGACACUGAUCAGGUUGGGGGCUCCUGCGGUAUGGUACUAAGGUAUUUUUGUAAUUUUUUCUUAAAUACGUUUGUACAUCGAGGAUUAGUACAAAUACAUAUUAUGUAACCUUACUUUACAGAUAGUGAAUUUUCGCACCACUCGAUCUUAUAGAUGUAGGCAUAUUGUCGAAUAACAUUAAAUCUCUCUUGAUUUCUCUUGA